AGAGUUUGAUCAUGGCUCAGAAUGAACGUUGGCGGCGUGGAUUAGGCAUGCAAGUCGAGCGAGUCUACUUAGUAGCAAUAUUGAGUAAGUCGAGCGGCGUAAGGGGCAGUAAUACCUGGGAACGUACCCUGAGGUCGGGGAUAGCUGCUAGAAAUGGCGAGUAAUACCCGAUGAUCUCGGAAGAGCAAAGGCUUGCCGCCUUCGGAGCGGCCCAGGCGAUAUUAGCUAGUUGGUGGGGUAAUGGCCUACCAAGGCAUAGAUGUCUAGCGGGUGUGAGAGCACGACCCGCGCCACUGGCACUGAGACACUGGCCAGACACCUACGGGUGGCUGCAGUCGAGAAUCUUCGGCAAUGAGCGCAAGCUUGACCGAGCGACGCCGCGUGCGGGAUGAAGGCCUUCGGGUUGUAAACCGCUUUGGUCCGAAAGAAAGGGUAAAACUUGAUCGAUCGGAGAAACAAGGACGGGCUAAGUUCGUG
This 477-nucleotide ribosomal RNA is filed under the name uncultured bacterium. RNAcentral's name for it is "bacterial SSU rRNA". It matches the Rfam family "Bacterial small subunit ribosomal RNA", at positions 8 to 507 of the family's 1533-position model. The record is from RNAcentral.